Molecule: transfer RNA, 84 nt
Filed under: compost metagenome
Description: tRNA-Ser
Rfam family: tRNA
About the family: Transfer RNA (tRNA) molecules are approximately 80 nucleotides in length. Their secondary structure includes four short double-helical elements and three loops (D, anti-codon, and T loops).
Source: RNAcentral
CGGAGGAUGGCGGAAUUUGGCAGACGCGCACGAUUCAGGUUCGUGUUCCGACAGGAUUGGGGGUUCGAUUCCCCCUCCUCCGAC